This 209-nucleotide long non-coding RNA is filed under the name Theobroma cacao (cacao). RNAcentral describes it as "long non-coding RNA (TCAC_LNC000432)". Lineage: Eukaryota; Viridiplantae; Streptophyta; Magnoliopsida; Malvales; Malvaceae. The record is from RNAcentral.
AAUAUAUGAGCAUGAAUGGCUAAACUGAUUUUUGGUGUUAGAAUUAUUUGUACUGUGUAUUCAGCCUUGAGAGGCUAGGUUGUGAUAAAUUGCCAUGUCAUGCAGAAAAAGAUUUUAUAAAUCAGGUGGUAGAUAAAAUAAUCCAUAGUCACUGCAGUGGUGGGGGUUUUCGUGGACUGCCUAUGAGAGGGACACAGUAACCCAAUUAU